This 163-nucleotide ribosomal RNA is filed under the name Tiquilia gossypina. RNAcentral's name for it is "5.8S ribosomal RNA". It matches the Rfam family "5.8S ribosomal RNA". From Rfam's summary of the family: 5.8S ribosomal RNA (5.8S rRNA) is a component of the large subunit of the eukaryotic ribosome. It is transcribed by RNA polymerase I as part of the 45S precursor that also contains 18S and 28S rRNA. Lineage: Eukaryota; Viridiplantae; Streptophyta; Magnoliopsida; Boraginales; Ehretiaceae. The record is from RNAcentral.
CAACGACUCUCGGCAACGGAUAUCUCGGCUCUCGCAUCGAUGAAGAACGUAGCGAAAUGCGAUACUUGGUGUGAAUUGCAGAAUCCCGUGAACCAUCGAGUCUUUGAACGCAAGUUGCGCCCGAAGCCGUCAGGCCGAGGGCACGUCUGCCUGGGCGUCAUGC